This 253-nucleotide ribosomal RNA is filed under the name uncultured bacterium. RNAcentral's name for it is "partial 16S ribosomal RNA". It matches the Rfam family "Bacterial small subunit ribosomal RNA", at positions 524 to 776 of the family's 1533-position model. The record is from RNAcentral.
UACGUAGGGUGCAAGCGUUGUCCGGAAUUAUUGGGCGUAAAGAGCUCGUAGGCGGUCUGUCGCGUCUGCUGUGAAAUCCCGGAGCUCAACUCCGGGUCUGCAGUCGAUACGGGCAAACUGGAGUACUGCAGGGGAGACUGGAAUUCCUGGUGUAGCGGUGAAAUGCGCAGAUAUCAGGAGGAACACCGGUGGCGAAGGCGGGUCUCUGGGCAGUAACUGACGCUGAGGAGCGAAAGCGUGGGGAGCGAACAGG